UGAGUGAUACUCUUAGUCGGACUAGGCGUUUGCUUGAAAAGUAUUGGCAUGGGUAGUACUGGAUAGUGCUGUCGACCUCUCAAUGUAUUAGGUUUAUCCAACUCGUUGAAUGGUGUGGCGGGAUAUUUCUGGUAUUGUUGGCCCGGCCUUACAACAACCAAACAAGUUUGACCUCAAAUCAGGUAGGAAUACCCGCUGAACUUAAGCAUAUCAAUAAGCGGAGGAAAAGAAACCAACAGGGAUUGCCUUAGUAGCGGCGAGUGAAGCGGCAAAAGCUCAAAUUUGAAAUCUGGCGCCUUCGGUGUCCGAGUUGUAAUUUGAAGAUUGUAACCUUGGGGUUGGCUCUUGUCUAUGUUUCUUGGAACAGGACGUCACAGAGGGUGAGAAUCCCGUGCGAUGAGAUGCCCAAUUCUAUGUAAGGUGCUUUCGAAGAGUCGAGUUGUUUGGGAAUGCAGCUCUAAGUGGGUGGUAAAUUCCAUCUAAAGCUAAAUAUUGGCGAGAGACCGAUAGCGAACAAGUACAGUGAUGGAAAGAUGAAAAGAACUUUGAAAAGAGAGUGAAAAAGUACGUGAAAUUGUUGAAAGGGAAGGGUUUGAGAUCAGACUCGAUAUUUUGUGAGCCUUGCCUUCGUGGCGGGGUGACCCGCAGCUUAUCGGGCCAGCAUCGGUUUGGGCGGUAGGAUAAUGGCGUAGGAAUGUGACUUUACUUCGGUGAAGUGUUAUAGCCUGCGUUGAUGCUGCCUGCCUAGACCGAGGACUGCGA
RNAcentral lists this ribosomal RNA (762 nucleotides) under Meyerozyma guilliermondii. RNAcentral's name for it is "eukaryotic LSU rRNA". The stretch from base 169 to 762 matches the Rfam family "Eukaryotic large subunit ribosomal RNA", at positions 1 to 600 of the family's 3401-position model. Lineage: Eukaryota; Fungi; Ascomycota; Pichiomycetes; Serinales; Debaryomycetaceae. The record is from RNAcentral.